UGAUAAAGAAGGUAAAGAGUCGUUUGAAACAAAAGCGGGGGGGAGUUAACGCGUUAGGACAAUAUGUAUCGUUAACACGGCCGCUACAUUUUCCCCUGGGAUCAAGCGAUAGCAGACUUCGAUCGAAAAGUCAUCGAUCAAAGGUAUCUUAAUUCGUACAAUAGCCGGUGAUGUUGUAAAAUUUGGACGCAUGAUCGAUCGUUCCAUAGCAUGGUGGCAAGGAGCUGGUUAACUGAACGCAACGUCGUUCUAUUCUAUGAAAGUAGAAACGAAUAAAAUGAAAUUUCGAAGAUAGACGUGCAGUGACAUAUUGGAAAGGAAGGAACGUGGUUCUGCGGUUGUUCCAGUCCGCCGAAUCGGCACGUGACAGCUGUCACCUUUGAAAAUCACGGCUAAAAAAAUUGUUUAAUAUAUGAGCGCGGAUCCGCGACGAUUUACACUUGUUUUCAAUUGAGACGCCCCGAACCGCGGCGAAUUGCUGCGACGAUUGGGGUGACUUUUAAAUGGGAGUAUAAUUUUAGGGUGUGAGCAUUCCCAUUCGACUUUCUAAAUGUAUAUAUUCAUUUAAGUGCGAUGAGUUUCUGGCCACCCCCACUCUCGAGAAUAUACAACGUUCCUUUUCCGUUCGUAGCCCAACGUUUUCAACGAAUAUGGGAACUAACUGAAUCAGAAUUACACCGAAGACACUAGAAACUGGCCGCAGGACGACUUUUCGCUUUUCCCCGGAUCUGUGUUUAACACUAUGGGCUUGUAAUUCGAGUUGGACAACGGUUAAUCGGAGAGUCGAUUAAUUGGCGAAGGGCAGGCUACGAUGUGCCCAUGGCACAUAUGGCAUGGGACGAGACGUUCCAUGACUCGCCGGAUUUUCAGACAUUCGUUUGGAAACGUGAAAAAUGUUUCGCUAUCGCUCGAAUUGGUCGAAAACUGUUCAGAGAGGAAGAAGAAACGGAAAAGGGAGAAGCGAGGAAAGAAUCCGAGGUACGACACGAUACAAAAGAAGAAUUCGAUGGUGGAGAAAGAUUGCGAGGACAAACAAGGGUAGAACGUACGGUUCGUAGAAUCGUAGGGGCUGAUAUUUAUCAUUCUAUUCCGAUCGUCGUAAUACUAUCGCCGAUAAAUUCUCGCGGAUGCGUGGAGAUACUGUAACGCGAUCGCCGAUAAAUUCAUAUUUCCGAUUGAUCGGAGAAACUGCACCAACAAAUCGUAAAGCAAUCGAGCACGCGAUCAUUUAGAUACGCGGACUGGCAUAUGCGUGCGCGCACGUUGCUUCGGACUCGAGCAUUCCGAACAAUAUCAACCAAUUAUCGGACGAUUGUGUCGCGGUGCCAACUGUCAACGUCGAUGGUCAACCGGUCGAUCGGGGGAGGGUGUGACCAUCGGUCACGAUCGAUGGACGCGGUCCAUCACCCUUCGGUCCAUCGUCCGAUCGAAUUGCGAACCUUUGUUUUCGCAAGGAAGAUCGCGCCGGACAAGUGUCGAAUGCUACUAAUUUUAUGCGUGUUUGCUUUACACCGAACAUUCGUUGUUUGUGCAAGAGAUGGGCAAGCCAUCGGACGAAUCGACUGGACGCUUUCGCGCGUACUCGUCGGUCCGGCCGGAAUUAUGAAUAUAAAUAUUUGUAGGCCGAAACGAGCGAAGCUCCUCUUGUAAAAUUAUCCCUACCAGUUUCGCUCGCGGUGGAUGCAAGCGUGGAUAGAAGCGU
Long non-coding RNA from Bombus impatiens (common eastern bumble bee), 1702 nucleotides. RefSeq lists it as uncharacterized. The transcript has 2 exons. The record is from RefSeq and is a predicted model, not a curated record. Lineage: Eukaryota; Metazoa; Arthropoda; Insecta; Hymenoptera; Apidae.